Molecule: ribosomal RNA, 187 nt
Filed under: Staphylococcus aureus
Lineage: Bacteria; Bacillati; Bacillota; Bacilli; Caryophanales; Staphylococcaceae
Description: partial 16S ribosomal RNA
Rfam family: Bacterial small subunit ribosomal RNA
Source: RNAcentral
UUUAUGGAGAGUUUGAUCCUGGCUCAGGAUGAACGCUGGCGGCGUGCCUAAUACAUGCAAGUCGAGCGAACGGACGAGAAGCUUGCUUCUCUGAUGUUAGCGGCGGACGAGUGAGUAACACGUGGAUAACCUACCUAUAAGACUGGGAUAACUUCGGGAAACCGGAGCUAAUACCGGAUAAUAUUUU